AAAAAGUUAGUAUAUAUAUUAUAAUUGGUUGUCGGCCUUUAGAAGGGGAUUUAUUCCUCACUUUUUG
RNAcentral lists this transfer RNA (67 nucleotides) under Stylochus stellae. RNAcentral's name for it is "tRNA-Asp". Lineage: Eukaryota; Metazoa; Platyhelminthes; Polycladida; Stylochidae. The record is from RNAcentral.